Molecule: RNA transcript, 4067 nt
Organism: Cinclus cinclus
Lineage: Eukaryota; Metazoa; Chordata; Aves; Passeriformes; Cinclidae
Gene name: transforming growth factor beta activator LRRC32-like
Exons: 4
Source: RefSeq, a predicted model, not a curated record
CGGGGCUGGCAGCUCCCGCAGCCCAACAUGCUCUGGGCUGCACGGGGAUGUUUCCUGCUCUGGCUGCUCCCGUCCAUCCUCAGAGCCCGGGCUAGCCCGGAGACGAGGCCCAGCUCCCCGCUGUGCCAGCAGAGCCCCACGAAGGUGUCUUGCAAAGGAGUUGGCCUGCGGAAAUUUCCCAAGGAGCUUGGCCAAGGAAUUAAGUACCUUGAACUCUCCAACAACUUUAUCCAAAACCUGUCAGGUAGCAACAUGCCAGGAUUGGGGCAGCUGGAGUACCUGGAUGUGUGCUUCAACCAGCUGGAAGCCGUGUCAGCCACCGCCCUGGCUCAGCUGCCUCGGCUGCGCUCGCUCCUCCUGGCAUCGAACCACCUGGACCAGAAUUACUUGGCUAAUGGGGAAGCUUUCCAUAUGCUCAGGAAUAUAGAGGUCCUGGACCUGUCUAUGAACAACCUGGAGAGCCACAUGGCCAGCUGGUACAUCAGCAACCUCACCAGCCUGAGGGUGCUGUAUCUCUCUGGGAACAGGAUGACCAAGCUGCUGGCAGGGACCUUCCGGAACUCUCCGCAGCUAAGCCAGCUCGACCUAAGCAACAACUACAUCUUGGAGAUCCAGGAGGGAGUUUUUGAGCCUCUGGAAGAGCUAGAGGUGCUGAACUUGGCUUUGAAUUCCCUCCACUGUAUCUCUGGCUUCAGCCUCAUGCAGCUGCGAGUUCUAAAUCUCAGCCACAACGCCCUGGAGCUCUUCUCCUCCGAGGAGGGAGUGGAGCCCUACCUGCUCCGAGUGCUUGACUUGAGCCAUAAUAGACUCCUCUCUUUUCCAGAGCUCCCCAGAGCCCAUGAUCUCACACACUUAAACCUCUCCAAUAACCUCAUUGCUUCCCUGCUGCCAGGCUCACCCCAUCCCAGGGAGUUAGUCCUGCUUUACAAGGAGAUGCAGAGGUUCAACAGGACCGUGCGUCCCGUGGCCGCUCUGACACGUGUGGCUGACCUGGAUCUCAGCAAUAACCGCCUGGAGCUGUUCCCAUUUUCCUUCUUCCACAGACUGAGUUCCCUGCACAGGCUCAGCCUGGCAAGGAACUGCCUCCAGGACGUGGCCAGGGGGUCUGUCUCCAAUGGCACGGAGCUGUCUGUGCGCUCAUUGGACCUCCACAGCAACGCCCUCCGUGUGCUGCCACGCUGGUUCUUCGAUUCCCUGCCUCACCUGGAAUCCAUGGAUCUGGGCUCCAACAGCCUCCAGCCUUGUGAGAGCCAGGGAAGUGACCAGGGAAAGGAUUUAGGGAGGGAUUCUCACACAUCAGCCCCCGCAGUCACCUGCACCCCCUUCUACAGCGUGCCUCGCUUGAAGCACCUGAGCCUGUCCAAGAACAGCAUCUCCAGACUGCAGCCCCAUGCCUUCAACCAGACCCCCCUGCUCUCCCUGGACCUGUCAGGAAACAGGGACUUGGCCAUGGCCACAGGAGCACUGGGGGGGCUGGAGCUGUCCCUGCAGGAGCUCUCUCUGAGGGACAACCAGAUGGACGAGGGCCAUGCAGCGCUGCCCUGCCUGGGCACGCUCCGAGUGCUGGACCUGUCGGGCAACCGCCUGAACCUGCUGCCCACGGGGCUUUCCUGCUCCCCACUGGAGAGCCUGGACAUUCGGAAUAACAGCCUGCAGAGCCUGGUAUCAGUCAGGAGCUGGUCUCACAGCCUGAGGGCUGUGUCUGUGGCUGGGAACCCCUGGAGCUGCUGCUCGCUGGGCUGGCUGGACACGCUGCGCGCGGCCGGCGUGGCCGUGCCGGACCUGCACCAAGCCCGCUGUGUUUUCCAGGAGCAUGGCCGGAAUAUCUCGGCCAGCAUCACCGGCACUCCCGGCUGGAUCUGUCCCCAGCCCGAGGGCACUGCCUCCCUGGCUCUGCUGGUGGCCUUGAUUGGCCUUUCCCUCCUCGGUGCCUGGGCUUUCUGCCUCCUGAGGAAAGGGAGGAAGGCUCCGGGAUGUGCGGGACUCGAGAGAAACAGGGUGGGAAUCUCCCAACCCCACCCCAAAGGAGAGGGGCCAGCCGAGGAGAGGCCACCUGACAGCAUCACCAAAGUGUAGCCCAGAUCUGCAGCCAUCGGUCAGAACUCUAAUUAUUAUUAAUAAUAUUAAUAAUGUUACUGUGGUUUAGAUCUCACUGGUACCUGCGUGAUUUGUGACCCCAGUGACAGGAUUGUGGUGGGUGCUGGGCUCUGAGCCACCUCCUCUUCUCCCAUCCUCUCUGAUCCCUGACAGAAAUUGAACAUGGAAUUUGGGGUGCCAUCACACAUUCCCAUCAGUGAGCACAGGAAACCAGGUCCUGGGCUGGCUGCAUUGAACACCCCCCUUUCUCUACAUCACACUCAGCUGGAUAAGAAUUGUCUCCAUUUGAGCUUCCCAGCUUGCCUAGCAGCCCCUUUAAGAAGGUUUUAAAGCUCUGCUAAGGCCCUGCAGCUGUUCCUGAGGCAUUCCCUAAUCCAGGAAGAAGCAGGAGGGAUUGGGUAUAGCGCUUGGUGGUGGCUUACAGUGCUAGGGUGGGGAUGGGCUUUCUGUGGGACCCUGCCCAUCUCUCUGCUGAAUUCCCUUGCUGCGGAUGCUGGGAGGAAUUCCGCCCUGUCCUCCCUCACUGGGAUAGUGGGAGUGGGAGAAAUAGGGGUCUGUGCUGUCCCUGGCUGGCACAAGAUGCCCCAUACUUGGUGCCAGGACUGUCAAGGUGAUGGUGGCAGAGACAGCUGGUGCCAGCAUGAGGUAAGUGCUGCCCAGGUCAUGAUCCUGGAUGAAUUUGGCACCCUCUGAGCAUCCCCCAAAGCCAGGGAUGAUCCAGGGGCUCAGACCCCAGCUCAGGAAGGCAGCUGGAGGAGGUGUUGAGUGAGAUUGUCACUGUGUGGUCAUGUCCAUCUCUCCCUUGAGUCACCUAUCCGGUUUCCCAGGGCAGAGUGAGAGCACCUGAAGGGCUGGGCCAACUCCAGGAAGUAUAAAACUGAAGCUGCAGUGAAACCUUUAAUGUUUCACAUCCAUUUGGUUCUGCAUUGGAAGUCCCCAGCUGGGCCCAGUCACCUCCACACACCUGGUGCUUCCCGGCUCCAUCCCCAGUGCUGUUCCCAGCUGAUGCCCCUGGGGAGCCACAGCCAGCUGGGCUUUGGGAAUGGAGUGCCCCAGGAGUUGCUGUGCCCACCUGGGGCUUCUCCCCAGCAUUGUCCCCUGUCCCUGGGUGACACCUGAGCUCCCUGGGGCAGGCACCUGCUUUCCCAGUGUCCACAGAGCUUCAUCUGCUGCAGAAGCUGAAGGAUAUCCUGGAAAGUGCCUGUCAGAUCUCUCUCCUCAGGCCACCCCAGCUGGGCAGAGAGCAUUUCUCCUCCUCUGUGUUCAGACAGAGCCUAAAUUAACCUAAAUCUCCCCAGUCCUGAUAAGAUAAGGAAGAUAACGAGUCCUUUCACCCAGCUGAAGGUAAAUCCCCUUCCAGAGGGGCAGCUGGAGGUACCAUUUCUUUUAUUUUCCCUAUAUUUCUGCAGCACCCAUUCCUGAAUCUUUCUUAUCUCAUCGAGGCCCGUCCUGACGCCGUGUUCUGGCUGCCUGGGAUGUUCUCCUGCUGAAUGUGGCGCUUUCUCUGUGGCUUUGGGAUGGUACAAGAGGCUGGUGGCACCUCCGGGACACCGCCCUGUGUCCCUCCCAUCCUUAGGGCUGCUUCCCAUUAUCCCUCCCUGCCACAGCCCCUCCGUGACUGGCACAGCUCCCCUGGCAGCUCUCACCAGCCCGUGGGGAAGGCCGGGCGUGUCGUUCGUGAUGCUUUUCCUCCUCUCCAGGGGCUCUGGCCGGGCUGGGACCUCCAUCCCGAGGUGCCUCGGGGUGUGGCAGAUGCGGAGCGUGUCCCCCCGGAUCCCCCCUGCCUUGCAGAGCCCUGCGCUGCCUCUGCAGCAUCACCAGAUGUUGCCACAUGUUCUGCAGCUGGAUCCUCCCUCCCAGCUGCGCCCGGGCUGCGUGCACGGGGGCACUGCCGUGGGCACAGGCAGCUCUGGCACAGGGCUCUGUCACCCCGUGUUGUAUCCUCACAGCAGGUGCAGAUCUGCUGUCCC